This 301-nucleotide ribosomal RNA is filed under the name uncultured bacterium. Its description in RNAcentral is "partial 16S ribosomal RNA". It matches the Rfam family "Bacterial small subunit ribosomal RNA", at positions 509 to 807 of the family's 1533-position model. The record is from RNAcentral.
CAGCCGCCGCGGUAAUACGAAGGGUGCAAGCGUUAAUCGGAAUUACUGGGCGUAAAGCGUGCGUAGGCGGUGAGUUAAGUCUGCUGUGAAAUCCCCGGGCUCAACCUGGGAAUGGCAGUGGAUACUGGCUCGCUAGAGUGUGUCAGAGGAUGGUGGAAUUCCCGGUGUAGCGGUGAAAUGCGUAGAGAUCGGGAGGAACAUCAGUGGCGGAGGCGGCCAUCUGGGACAACACUGACGCUGAGGCACGAAAGCGUGGGGGGCAAACAGGAUUAGAUACCCCAGUAGUCCCUGUCUCUUAUAC